GGGGUUUUUGACCCGUUUUACACAAGUUCAGGGUAUAAGUGAUCCCUUUUUUCAGCUUUGGACUUUUUUGAUACUUUGACACAAGUUCGGGGGUGAAAGUGAUCCUUUGUUUCUUUUUUUAUUUCCAUCUUCUUCCUCCAUCUCUGGUUUCUCACAUUUUCUUUUUUAUUUGUCCAUCUUCUUCCAUCUCUGACUCUCAUCUUUUACCCUUCAGAUCAUUAUUGUUCCGUCGCCGUUGUUCCGCUUUCACGUUUUCCGCCAUUGUUGUUUUUCUGUCACUCCUUCCUCCAUCGUUAUUUGCCCGUCACUCUUGUCGCCGCUGUUGUUUCUCUAUCACUCUUUCCGCCGCUGUUGUUUCUCUAUCACUCCUGCCGUCGCCGUUGUUCCGCCGCCGCCGCUCCUGUCACAGCCUUUAUUCCGUUUCUCUCUUUUUUUGUAGAUCUAAAAUUAUCUCUCCAUUUCUCUGUCAAAUUGAAAUCAUAAGGCAGAGUGAAAAUUAUUGAGUUGGUUGUGAUAGCUUGGGGGCAUAAUUAUUGACUGAACUUGAAGCAGAGGAGCGCCUACCUUACUAUUGUGAUUGCCAUUCGAAAACCACUAUUUAGUUCACAUAAGUAAAAAGAGUGAGAGAACAUGAAAUAUUUGUAUUGUUAUUUUGCUGAUUUUAGCAUUGGUGAAAAAGAUUGUAAUUUUAUAGUGUUGCUAUUGUGUUGAUUUAAUGUUAAUUUUCGGUUGAUAUUUUAUUGAUUUUA
Molecule: long non-coding RNA, 749 nt
Organism: Mercurialis annua (annual mercury)
Lineage: Eukaryota; Viridiplantae; Streptophyta; Magnoliopsida; Malpighiales; Euphorbiaceae
Exons: 2
Source: RefSeq, a predicted model, not a curated record